UACGUAGGGGGCAAGCGUUGUCCGGAUUUAUUGGGCGUAAAGAGCGUGUAGGCGGCCAUUCAGGUCAGCUGUGAAAACUCGAGGCUCAACCUCGAGACGUCGGUUGAAACCGUCUGGCUAGAGUCCGGAAGAGGAGAGUGGAAUUCCCGGUGUAGCGGUGAAAUGCGCAGAUAUCGGGAAGAACACCCGUGGCGAAGGCGGCUCUCUGGGACGGUACUGACGCUGAGACGCGAAAGCGUGGGGAGCGAACAGG
RNAcentral lists this ribosomal RNA (253 nucleotides) under uncultured bacterium. RNAcentral's name for it is "partial 16S ribosomal RNA". It matches the Rfam family "Bacterial small subunit ribosomal RNA", at positions 524 to 776 of the family's 1533-position model. The record is from RNAcentral.